Molecule: long non-coding RNA, 724 nt
Filed under: Citrus x clementina
Lineage: Eukaryota; Viridiplantae; Streptophyta; Magnoliopsida; Sapindales; Rutaceae
Description: Citrus clementina (C. clementina) long non-coding RNA (CCLE_LNC003482)
Source: RNAcentral
CAUAAUACAAUACAACACUAAACAUAGUAUUACUAAAAAUUAAUAUAAAUAAUGUAACACCAAACAUUGUAUAGGAUUAUUAUAAUACAAUACUAAUACAAUACAACAUAAUACAAUACGUCUGUAUUAAAAUAUUGCAAUACAACAUAAUAUAAUACAAUGUGUCAAACGCACCCUUUAAUCAAAAAAGAAAAUUUCAUAAUUCAAAAAAUACAUAUGUUGUGGCCGUACUUCUUCUUCAUCAUCAUCAUAUUCUGACCUAUUGAAAGAAAUCUCUUAAUACCACUAUAGCUUGAAAUGGGCGAACGUGAAGAGGUCACAGCACAUGAAUCAAUCUUGUCUCUUAUCAUAAAAUCACAAGACCGAGGCUGAGGCUGAUGAGGCAGUGCCACGCCAUUCUUAUUUUUAAGACAUUCUUAGGUUUUUAUAGUGUUGGCAUCUUAUGGCAAGUUAAUAUUAUUUCAAAAAUAAUAUAAUUAUCUAUCCUUAUUUAUUGGCUUCAUUUCCUUUAGGGUGUGUUUGGUGUGUGGUAUUACAUAGCAUUAAGUGUGGACCCAACAUUAAAUUAAAUCAAUCACAUGUAUGGGAAUUAAUUGAGGCUCAUUGGGAUUGGUCUUCAGAGCUGUGCUAAUGCAGCAAUUGCUGCAUUAACUUAAACCUGACUCGCAGUUGGGUUUCUUUUUUUUUUUUUCUUUUACUUUCUACUAAUAAUAAUAAUUAAUAA